GGGAGUCUGAGCACUAUAAAUAUCGGUGCCCAGGGCUGCAGAGCUCUAUUGAGAGCUGACACUUUCUAAAUGGAGAUGCAGAGACGAGUAAGGAGAGGUUCCUGUGCCCCCAAAGAGCUGAAGCUGGAACUUGAGGAGAGGCCAUCCCGCAGGAAUGGGAUUAGAUAGGUUUGCUGGAUGCAGCUAAGGAGCAGGAGCAGAGAGCUUCCAUGUCAUUCCGUCAUGGAGGCUGAGGGAGGAACCUCUUAGCUGGUGCAAUGCAGCAGGAUUGGACUGGCAUAAUUUCUGAAGUCAAGAAAUAAAUAUUACAUCAGAAGAUUGGUGUAGGUUUCUCAGUGCCAAGCCCUGUCUGACAACAGGGUGUUUGUGGCCACAAGGAAAUGCCUACUGAAGAAAGACCACAGAAUUGGACUUUGAAAGGUUCACCCCUUGAUUGAACUACAGAGGGAAGCAACAGAAGCUUUGGUAUCCUCAACUCUUACUAACCUCUACCUUCUGCUCCAGCCUUGCCUAUGCAGCCAGGCACCCCUAAUUCCUUCCAAAGAGAAACAUGCCUCAGAUAUAUCAAAGGAGUUGAGACUUUGUCCUUUGUAAUGGCCAGUUCAGUGGCAACAGCAUUUGAGACUUUGAUCUAGUCCUUUGAAAAAUCCCUAAACAUAAUACCCAAGAUUAGAAGAUACCUUGGGGCAUUUCCUAACUGUCAAAACAUACAUGCUUCAUCAGACUUGAGUUUGAUGCUGUGUUAUUUUGUGGAAAGGAAGCUAAAACAAGUUCUGAACUGUGUUGGAACAAGCAACAGUGGGAAUAUUAGAGAGAAGAAAUUGACAAGACUGACAGUUGGUGGGGGAAGGGACAAUUGGGAGUGACAGUUGGGUCUUUUGACUAGCACUUCCUUCCUGGUGGGAAGUGGGAGGAGUUUUUCUUUGUCUCUGGGUAGAAGUUCCUCAUUUUCUUCAGCCUGAAGAGACAGGCCCAACCAGCUCUGAAGAUCAGAACUUUGUUGUUGCUUGCUGUCUACUGCUAGGAUUUUGAAAUUUAGAAAAAUAGACAGGAAUAAAAGAAAUCCUCCACCAGUUUGUGAGGCCUGGUCUUGACUCCAAAGCUGAGAAAGACUCAAACCGUAUCUAGGGAAAUCCCUCUUCCCUUUUCCCAGAUACCUCUCCAAUCCAAAAUUUAUCUAUUUUGAAUAUCAGCCAGAUAAGUAGACUAUCUCUGGGGCAUAGAGGGAGCUGAACCUCAGUUCAGUCAUCCAACACUAUAAAUAAUCUUUAUUUGACCCCUGCUGGGAGACCAAAGUCUAGGAAAAGGCUUGUCCCCCAAGUAGGUGGUCUGUGUUUACCUGCUCUGGGGCAUCUUCGUCAUCAAUCCAUAGAGAAGACAUCCCCACAGACUAUCAUAAGUGGCUCAUUUCUUGGGACACCCCAUUUUGUUCAAAAAUAGCCUCUCGGCAAGGGACAUCUCUCUCCUUUGCCUCGCUAGCAGCCAUAUUCCCUCUCUCCCUUCAACUCCUCCAUUCCCUGCUACAAACCUUCCCUGUUCCCUGUUCUUCACAUCCACCCAUCUCUCCCAGUAAAUAUUAGUUUUUGGCAGAGCUAGCUAGGUUUUCCAACCAGUUUCAGAGAAAUCGGGCCUACAUACAUUUUAAAAGCCUGUGACUGGAAAGCAGCCAUUUUGAGAGCAGUGUUGAGCGCAACUAAUCUGCCAUGUAACACCACAGUCAAAAGAAAGUAGAAGUUAAAGACGGGAUACCACCAAGGACACCAAACUAAAGAAGCCAUAAAUGGAAUCAACCCAAUUAUCCAAAGCUUGUUUGAUCAGAAAAUUUUAAUCGCAACAAUUUCAGAAUAUAAUACACCAGCAAUACCCAUAAAGAAAACAAAAUGUGACUGAAUGAAAAGUUCAGUGGAGACUGAUCAAAGAUUUAAGAGCAUAUGUAAGACUCACCAACCCCCCCAGAGGGCAGGACUGGGACCAGAGUUCCCCAGGCAAGGGUGAGGGGAAAAUGACAGGAUACAAAGGCUGGAGUCAGAAGGGUCUCACUGAGCUAAUAGCAGGAGAAGGGAACAAAAGAGCCAUUAUACAGUGCUAAGAAGCAGAAGGUCAAAAAGGACCAAUCCAAUCCAGGUUCCUUACACAUAACGUUAUCACUAUGCUUUGCACAGCUUAUAGACCUGAACUUGGAGUGUUCAACUUCCUCACCUCUUUGAGAACUUAGUCAACCAAAGGCAUAAACCAGAAGAAUUGACAGAAAGCAGAUGAUGCCACAAAAGAAAUGAGUGCCUUCUGGGGACUGAAGAGACUCUGUAGAGCUGAGAUAAAAUUGUCAACCAGUUUAUAAUCUGGCAUCCCAAUGGCAGGCCAGCCUAGUAAUGGAGCUCCAGUAGACUGAGAGGAAAUCACUUGGAGAAGAGAUGCCUUCUGUCUUCUUUACCUACUCUUGGCCAAAGGAGUGAUGCUGAAUAUGUUAAACCUUUGUUUGAGGAAUAUCCAUUUUCUGAUUGUGUCAAGGAUAGAUUAGAGAGGGGAGCACUUUUUGGAGGGGAGGUCUGGAAGUCCCUCUUCCAGUGUACAGUUUCUGUCUGGGAAGAGUGUUAAAGUGGGUGAUCUAUUAGCAUCUUAGUUUGAAUUUAACUUUGGUUACCUAACAAAGUCCUGAAGGAAUGGGUCUAGUAGCACCAAUAAAUGUCAGUAGGAGUGGAUCAAAGAAGGUUUGGAACAUGAGACACUGGUAGAAAUUGACUUCUACAGCAACACCAUAGUAUAGUAGGGGUCCCAGAUGGUCUGAAGCUAACAAGAAAGCACUAGGUAUUUAGACAAGAAGUUCUCCAAAAGGUGAAGAAUGAGCACUGAAAAAAAAUUGCUUUCCUGAUAUUUUUCCCAAAGACCCACACCACACAAAAGGAUAUGUGGACCAUGAGUUAUUCAUACCAGUUUCGUUUAUUGACUCAGAUCAUGGAUUAAGAAAAGUGCAAGUGUGGCAAUUUGAGAGAAUUUGAUUGUACACUGGGGGGUUACAAUAUGUAUCCAAUUAAGUAAAAACAAAGUAUGUUUGAAGAAAUUAAGAGCUGGUCCCUAUGGGGAAUCAGGAAGAAACUAUUGGGAGCUGGUCCCUAAAGGGAAGCAAAAUAUUCUCUUAGGUGAAGGCAAGGAGGAAGACCUUUCUGGACAGGAGGGAAUACUUGUAUAAUGAAUGGUACAGAGGCCAAAUUGGUAUGACAUGUGCUAGGAAUGGCUAAUAAUACCCAAUUUAAUGGGGAAAGAGUUCAUGAAGAAAAAGACUAUGAAGUAAGACUGGACAUAUGAAUAGAAUUUUUGUAGAUCUUUUUAAUACCAAGUUAAGUUUGUAUUUUAUCUUAGAACAAGGAGGCUACUGGUUUUUUAAAGAUUCUGUCACUAGUUAUUUUAGCCUAAAGUUUUAGUUUCUUGGUCCAAAGCAGUAUUCCUGAACCUCAGCCUUAGCCUUUAUUAUAUGUGGGACAUCCAGAAUUCCCCCUGACCUUCCCAUUUGAGAUAUAAUUACAGAUUAUAGAUGGCACAGUGAAUAGAGCUCCGGAAUUGGAGUUAGGAAGAUACAAGGUCCAAAUCUGAACUCAAAUACAUACUAGCUGCCUCAGUUUAUUCAUAUGCAAGAUGACAAUAAUAAUAGUGCCAACUUCUCAGGAUUGUUGUGUGUAUAAAGUGAGAUAUUUGAAAGGUGCUUGGAAAACUUUAAAAAUCUUUAUAUAGAUACUAGCUAUUAUGCACAUUCUAGUUAAACUGUGACAAAUUGUAAUCAAUAAUCUAGAUCCUGGAGAUCUUAGAAGAAAACUUAUCUCAUUAAUUAAUGUGGAAUAGGUAUACCCUGUUAGACUUGGUGAAUUAAGGUGUUUUUUUUUAUUUCAAGGAAGGGUUAAACCUAGAAAAGGUUGUUAAAAAUAACAAGAAAACUUUUAAAAUAAAAUAAUCACAUCAGAACUUAAAUAUCCAUGAGUGUUGUCUCCUUCCAAGUGAUUUCCAAUAGAGCCUUUGAAACUAUCAGACAAAACCAGCUUUACUUCUUUGCAGUCAGACCUCAACAAUGAUAUUGCCUGGCUUGAUAUUGAACUUAGUUGCUAAAUUUAGCCCUCAUCACCAUUGAUUGCUUCAAAAAACUUAAAUGUGUUCUCAAAGGAUGGAGAUUUUUUCUCUUUCAGGACAUUGAAAAGAAUAUUCAAUAGUCUCCGAAAGCAAUUCAGAAAUGGGAUUUUGGUAUCAUUGGUGUGACUCCCAAAGCAACUACUUAGAAUGGCAUUACUCAUUGGGAUUUAAACAUUAAGUGUUUAAAUGUUCACUUUGUCUUGGAAACUUGUUAUAUUAUAUCUAUCAAAAAAAAAAAAACCACUGCUCUAGUGCUGAAUUUACACACCUAAAUAUGAGUUAUUACUACAAAUAAGGGAGAAAGCAUUAUGUAAGUAGAGUGCUGGACAGGGAGUUAAUGCAGAGUGUUUCAAAUCCCACCUCUGGCACUUAAUAGAUGUCUGGCCAUGGGAAAAUCAUGUCACCUCUCAACCUCAGUUUCCCUCUUUGUAAAAUGUUUAUAACAUCUAUAGCACUUACCUUACCAAUUUGUUGUAAGGAGGUAAUGUGUUUGUAAAGUACUUUCUAACCCUUAAAAUAUGGUAUGUAAAUGUUGACUAUUACUAGGUUUUAUUGAAUCUUGAUUGCUUGUUUUUCCUCUCAUAAAACCAUAAAAUUCAUUUAAAAUUUCCUUUCACAAAAAAUAUCACUGACCACAGAGUCAGAAGAUUGACUUUGAAUGUACAGUUUACUGGUUUUGUGAUCUUGGAUAAGUUGGAUCAUCAGUCUCUCAAAAUGGAGGGUUUGGUCGAGGCCAGAGGAUUUCAAUUAGGGGCUCAAUAGUGUAGUUUUUAAUAACUAUAUUUUAACAUAGAAAUGAUUUCCUUCAUGAUCUUAUGCAAUUAAAAAUAUUAUCUCAAGAAGGGACUUCACAGGCUUUGCCAAGGGUUCAUGGCACAAAAAUGAUUGACAAUCCUUUGGACAAAAUGAAUUCUGAGAUCCCAUUCAGUGAUUUCAUGUGUGGUUGACUGUCUAAUACUAGAAAAUGUUCUUUUCAGCUCUCAAUUUCUGUGAUUUGAAGUGUUUUGUUUUUUUUCCAAUUGUGAAAUGUUACCUGAGGCAGACACAAGUUUCUGGAUGUGGAUGCUGGGAGAAGAUCAUGUGGAUUUCCACAGAGACCUGAGACCUUGGGGCCCACGUGGCUUCUUGGAUCAAGUGAUGACGAGGAUGCACCCAACGUGCUAACCAGAGAGGCUGGCUCGGUGCAUGCCUGGUGUGGGGAGCUGUUUGCAUCCACUGGUGACAUAAAGUCCUGGGGAUCUGCCUGUUGGAUGCCUGGGCUCUGGAGUGGCUGCAAAGAGAAAACCAGCAUGUGGGAGGAGAGCUGAACUCCAGCUAGAACCUUGAAAGCAUCCAUGGUAAUUUGAGAAUAAGCCUUAGCAUGCUUUCAAACUUAGUCUCUUUCAGGAAAUACAUAAGCAUGAAUGACCUCCUACAUCUGUUUUAAGGAAAUAGUCUGGGGCAUUUCCUUCAGAAGAAGAAAUACUUAUUAAGCACCUGCUGCAUACAAGGCACCCUGAAAGUGACAGCACUACUUACUUAGCUAUGUGAUAUAGGGCGAAAAAUCACUUAUCUUCUCUAUGCCUCAAUUUCUUCAGCUCUAAAAUAAAGAGAUUGGAUCAUAUGGUCUUUACAAAGUACCUUUUUAGAUCCUAUCAUCAUGAAAAUUCCAGGGCUCACUUGGUAUGCAUAAAAUAAGAUCUCUGAGGGGCAGCUGGGUAGCUCAGUGGAUUGAAAAUGGAUAGAAACAGGAGGUCCUGGGUUCAAAUCUGGCCUCAGACAGUUCCUAGCUCUGUGACCCUGGACAAGUCACUUAACCUCCAUUGCUUAGCCCUUACUACUCUUCUGCCUUACAACCAAUACACAGUACUGAUUCUAAGAUAGAAGGUAAGGGUUUUUUUUUUACAGAUAAUUUCUUUUGACAGUUAGAUGGGGAAAAUAAAAUAUAAAUAUGGGUAGCUUUUUUUUUAAAUCAAAGAUGUCUGUCUUCCUUGUCACUUAUUCUUUUCAAUAAUACAAUUGAUUUCCUUUUAACUAUGAUGUGACAUUUUUUCAGGCUUUGUGACUAAUUAAUUCAAGCAAGUUUCUUAAACUUUCCAGGCCUCAGUUUCUUCCUCUGUGAGCUUUAAAUGUUAAGAAGUUAAAUUCUAUGACCUGUGAGGUCCUUCUAACUAGGCACAACAGGAAGAGACAUCAUGAAAUCUCACGUUGUUUCAUGAGCAAAUAAGUUUUUCAGAGUACAUUGAGUGUUAGAGGAAUAUGGAGGGAAAAAAAGGUCACUUCUCUUUAAGUAGAUCAGAGCAAUUAGAAAGGAACUUAGGUAUGAGCUGGAAAACAAUGGACAAGUAGGAUUUGGAUAAGCAGAGAGCUGAAAAGAAUGUUUAUCAUGAUGGGGCUACAUUAAUGGAGAAGGUGUUUUCUGUAACAAAAGGGCAGCAUUGUGGUUAUUGAUCAGUACAGAUAAACUUCUCUAUUAUAUAUUGUAUUAUUAUAGUAUACAUAAUAUAUUGUUAUUAUAUAUUAUACUAUACUAUGUUACAUCAUAUUAUAUAUUGUCAUAUUAUAUUAUGUCAUGUUCUAUCAUGUCAUAUUAUAUCAUAUAUCAUAUUAGAUCAUGCCACAUUAUAGUAUGUAAUAUUCUAUUA
Molecule: non-coding RNA, 6740 nt
Organism: Monodelphis domestica (gray short-tailed opossum)
Lineage: Eukaryota; Metazoa; Chordata; Mammalia; Didelphimorphia; Didelphidae
Source: RefSeq, a predicted model, not a curated record